UGCAAGGUAAACUAAUGAAGUUGGUGGGCUCAUAACCCAAGCAUGCCUUUAUUUGGCUCUUGCAA
Molecule: transfer RNA, 65 nt
Filed under: Modiolus nipponicus
Lineage: Eukaryota; Metazoa; Mollusca; Bivalvia; Mytilida; Modiolidae
Also listed under: 1 other name
Description: tRNA-Met
Source: RNAcentral